GGAGACGUGACUGAGUGGCUUAAGGUGCCCGGUUUAGGUCCGGGUGAGCCGUGUUCCCGUAAGCUGUGAGAGGUGGACCGGGGUAAAGGCUCCGGGGGUUCGAAUCCCUCCGUCUCCG
This 118-nucleotide transfer RNA is filed under the name Methyloceanibacter methanicus. It matches the Rfam family "tRNA". Rfam says of the family: Transfer RNA (tRNA) molecules are approximately 80 nucleotides in length. Their secondary structure includes four short double-helical elements and three loops (D, anti-codon, and T loops). Further hydrogen bonds mediate the characteristic L-shaped molecular structure. tRNAs have two regions of fundamental functional importance: the anti-codon, which is responsible for specific mRNA codon recognition, and the 3' end, to which the tRNAs corresponding amino acid is attached (by aminoacyl-tRNA synthetases). tRNAs cope with the degeneracy of the genetic code in two manners: having more than one tRNA (with a specific anti-codon) for a particular amino acid; and 'wobble' base-pairing, i.e. permitting non-standard base-pairing at the 3rd anti-codon position. The record is from Rfam by way of RNAcentral. Lineage: Bacteria; Pseudomonadati; Pseudomonadota; Alphaproteobacteria; Hyphomicrobiales; Hyphomicrobiaceae.